GCAUCUAGGGCACACAUCUAAUACUUCUACUGACGACAUACAGAUUUUUUUUGUAGAUACUCGAAGACCCCAUCCGAUGUCCCCCACUCCAGCUUAAUGGCAGUCCCUAUCAUGCUGCUCGUGCCAUGUCACCCCAAUAGGAGAGGAGCAGCAAUAGACCCCAUCAAAAUCAUUAUACAAUAUUGUAAAAACAAAAUUUAUGACUCUCUUGCUAUUCAUU
RNAcentral lists this long non-coding RNA (220 nucleotides) under Elaeis guineensis (African oil palm). Its description in RNAcentral is "long non-coding RNA (EGUI_LNC063033)". The record is from RNAcentral. Lineage: Eukaryota; Viridiplantae; Streptophyta; Magnoliopsida; Arecales; Arecaceae.